Molecule: long non-coding RNA, 1123 nt
Organism: Cydia splendana
Lineage: Eukaryota; Metazoa; Arthropoda; Insecta; Lepidoptera; Tortricidae
Exons: 2
Source: RefSeq, a predicted model, not a curated record
AGGCUUAACCGGUUAACCCCGGAUUAGUGGGAUGGUGCAAGUGGCCCUAAGGCGUUUUACGUAAACAAUAAAAUUAAGUAGCUAAAAGGCAUGGAUUAAUUUUAUACAAUGAUCUCAACCCUAUUUAUGAUAUAACCCUAGUGUAUAACAAUACAUUUCCAUGGUCGUCAGUGGAUUCAACACAAUGUUAUUAUUAUACGUUAUCUAACGUGAAGGCGGAUUAAAAUAACAAACUAAAAUAUUUUAUUCAUUUUUGAUCGAUAAUUAAUAAGAAUGCAGACAAAUUUUCAUAAGUAGUUAUAAUUUGUCUAAAGAAAUAUUAAUAUUUAAAUAUGGAAGCGUGUAGCUAAUUUCAACUACGUGGUCCCAUUCAAUAGAAUAUUUACAAAACUGGCCUAAAAUAACCGAUUUCGUCGACUUUAUAAACGGGUAAAAUAUUAUCUUUAAUCAUUAUAAGCCGAAAAAUAUCACAUAAACCGUAGAAAAUCUAUUUUUAUUCUUUAAAAUUUUAUCAUUAUUUUCAAUAUGUUUCAUUGCCAGCAAGUAACUCAUUUGACUGUCAAAGGACUUUAAUUUAAACUUUAGAAGGCAACGGAUUUAAUAAGAAUUCAAGUCACCAAUAAAACAUUGAGACACGUAGUUUUAAACAAUCACAGAGUAGUUGUGCAAUAGCAGUAAUUUGUGACUGCGUAGAGAGUAACAGUAGUAAAUACUAAUGAACAGGCGCGAUAGAAAAAAUUAAGAAUAUUUCGAAUAAAUAAUAUAAGUAAUUAUAUGUGAUGGUCUGAUGGUAUAUGUACAUUACAUUUUUAUAUACAUGCCAAUUAGGCUUCGUUGUUGAUAUAGUAAAAUGAAAUUAUAAUUUAAAAUUAUGCCAUAGAACGCAAAGUAAAUAAAAUCGGUUAAAGGGAAAACCGGUGCAGAACAUCCGAGUAAGACCUAAAACCGGUUUUGCACAAAUUUUGUCCAGUCAAUCAACUCUAACAAUAACUUUAUAACUAGAAAAUUGUCGUAUUUCUUAGGCAAUGAAUUUACUGGUCAUAGAUUUGCGUGGCCUUAUAUAAGUAAAGAUUGUACAGGUAGUGAUAAAUUAAACCUUAUGUCAUCAUCUCCAUAACUUGUA